GAUGAACGCUGGCGGCGUGCCUAAUACAUGCAAGUCGAGCGAACAGACGAGGAGCUUGCUCCUCUGACGUUAGCGGCGGACGGGUGAGUAACACGUGGAUAACCUACCUAUAAGACUGGGAUAACUUCGGGAAACCGGAGCUAAUACCGGAUAAUAUAUUGAACCGCAUGGUUCAAUAGUGAAAGACGGUUUUGCUGUCACUUAUAGAUGGAUCCGCGCCGCAUUAGCUAGUUGGUAAGGUAACGGCUUACCAAGGCAACGAUGCGUAGCCGACCUGAGAGGGUGAUCGGCCACACUGGAACUGAGACACGGUCCAGACUCCUACGGGAGGCAGCAGUAGGGAAUCUUCCGCAAUGGGCGAAAGCUUGACGGAGCAACGCCGCGUGAGUGAUGAAGGUCUUCGGAUCGUAAAACUCUGUUAUUAGGGAAGAACAAAUGUGUAAGUAACUAUGCACGUCUUGACGGUACCUAAUCAGAAAGCCACGGCUAACCACGUG
RNAcentral lists this ribosomal RNA (497 nucleotides) under uncultured bacterium. Its description in RNAcentral is "partial 16S ribosomal RNA". It matches the Rfam family "Bacterial small subunit ribosomal RNA", at positions 28 to 507 of the family's 1533-position model. The record is from RNAcentral.